This 21-nucleotide non-coding RNA is filed under the name Caenorhabditis elegans. The record is from RNAcentral. Lineage: Eukaryota; Metazoa; Nematoda; Chromadorea; Rhabditida; Rhabditidae.
UUUGACAUCAAAGAAAAACAG